GACGAACGCUGGCGGCGUGCUUAACACAUGCAAGUCGAACGGAAAGGCCCUGCUUUUGUGGGGUGCUCGAGUGGCGAACGGGUGAGUAACACGUGAGUAACCUGCCCUUGACUUUGGGAUAACUUCAGGAAACUGGGGCUAAUACCGGAUAGGAGCUCCUGCUUCAUGGUGGGGGUUGGAAAGUUUCGGCGGUUGGGGAUGGACUCGCGGCUUAUCAGCUUGUUGGUGGGGUAGUGGCUUACCAAGGCUUUGACGGGUAGCCGGCCUGAGAGGGUGACCGGCCACAUUGGGACUGAGAUACGGCCCAGACUCCUACGGGAGGCAGCAGUGGGGAAUAUUGCACAAUGGGCGGAAGCCUGAUGCAGCAACGCCGCGUGCGGGAUGACGGCCUUCGGGUUGUAAACCGCUUUCGCCUGUGACGAAGCGUGAGUGACGGUAAUGGGUAAAGAAGCACCGGCUAACUACGUG
This 468-nucleotide ribosomal RNA is filed under the name uncultured bacterium. Its description in RNAcentral is "partial 16S ribosomal RNA". It matches the Rfam family "Bacterial small subunit ribosomal RNA", at positions 28 to 507 of the family's 1533-position model. The record is from RNAcentral.